CUACGGGGGGCUGCAGUGGGGAAUAUUGGACAAUGGGCGAAAGCCUGAUCCAGCCAUGCCGCGUGUGUGAAGAAGGCCUUCGGGUUGUAAAGCACUUUCAGUGGGGAAGAAAGCCUUGGGGCUAAUACCCUCGAGGAAGGACAUCACCCACAGAAGAAGCACCGGCUAACUCCGUGCCAGCAGCCGCGGUAAUACGGAGGGUGCGAGCGUUAAUCGGAAUUACUGGGCGUAAAGCGCGCGUAGGCGGUCUGAUAAGCCGGUUGUGAAAGCCCCGGGCUCAACCUGGGAACGGCAUCCGGAACUGUCAGGCUAGAGUGCAGGAGAGGAAGGUAGAAUUCCCGGUGUAGCGGUGAAAUGCGUAGAGAUCGGGAGGAAUACCAGUGGCGAAGGCGGCCUUCUGGACUGACACUGACGCUGAGGUGCGAAAGCGUGGGUAGCAAACAGGAUUAGAUACCCUAGUAGC
This 463-nucleotide ribosomal RNA is filed under the name Vreelandella stevensii. Its description in RNAcentral is "partial 16S ribosomal RNA". It matches the Rfam family "Bacterial small subunit ribosomal RNA", at positions 339 to 794 of the family's 1533-position model. Lineage: Bacteria; Pseudomonadati; Pseudomonadota; Gammaproteobacteria; Oceanospirillales; Halomonadaceae. The record is from RNAcentral.